This 21-nucleotide non-coding RNA is filed under the name Caenorhabditis elegans. Lineage: Eukaryota; Metazoa; Nematoda; Chromadorea; Rhabditida; Rhabditidae. The record is from RNAcentral.
UAAACAGUAUAAUUGUUAAAC